CCUACGGGGGGCAGCAGUGAGGAAUAUUGGUCAAUGGACGAGAGUCUGAACCAGCCAAGUAGCGUGAAGGACGACUGCCCUAUGGGUUGUAAACUUCUUUUAUAUGGGAAUAAAAUGUUCCACGUGUGGGAUUUUGUAUGUCCCAUAUGAAUAAGGAACGGCUAACUCCGUGCCAGCAGCCGCGGUUAUACGGAGGAUCCGAGCGUUAUCCGGUAUUAUUGGGUUGAAAGGGGGCGUAGGUGGAUUGUUAAGUCAGUUGUGAAAGUUUGCGGCUCAACCGUAAAAUUGCAGUUGAAACUGGCAGUCUUGAGUACAGUAGAGGUGGGCGGAAUUCGUGGUGUAGCGGUGAAAUGCUUAGAUAUCACGAAGAACUCCGAUUGCGAAGGCAGUUCACUGGACUGCAACUGACACUGAGGCUCGAAAGUGUGGGUAUCAAACAGGAUUAGAUACCCUGGUAGUC
RNAcentral lists this ribosomal RNA (460 nucleotides) under uncultured bacterium. RNAcentral's name for it is "partial 16S ribosomal RNA". It matches the Rfam family "Bacterial small subunit ribosomal RNA", at positions 338 to 795 of the family's 1533-position model. The record is from RNAcentral.